Molecule: transfer RNA, 71 nt
Filed under: Candidatus Woesearchaeota archaeon
Lineage: Archaea; Nanobdellati; Candidatus Woesearchaeota
Description: tRNA-Ala
Rfam family: tRNA
About the family: Transfer RNA (tRNA) molecules are approximately 80 nucleotides in length. Their secondary structure includes four short double-helical elements and three loops (D, anti-codon, and T loops).
Source: RNAcentral
GGGCCCAUGGUUCAAUGGUAGAACGCGUGGCUGGCAGUCAUGAGGCCCGGGUUCGAUUCCCGGUGGGUCCA